Molecule: small nuclear RNA, 104 nt
Organism: Gorilla gorilla gorilla (western lowland gorilla)
Lineage: Eukaryota; Metazoa; Chordata; Mammalia; Primates; Hominidae
Source: Ensembl
GUGCUCACUUUAACAGCACAUAAACUAAAAUUGGAGUGGUACAGAGAUUAGCAUGGCCCCGGCAAAGGGAUGACACGCAAAUUCGUGAAACGUUUCAUAUUUUU